Molecule: ribosomal RNA, 506 nt
Filed under: uncultured bacterium
Lineage: Bacteria
Description: partial 16S ribosomal RNA
Rfam family: Bacterial small subunit ribosomal RNA
Source: RNAcentral
AGUGAACGCUGGCGGUAGGCCUAACACAUGCAAGUCGAACGGCAGCACAGGAGAGCUUGCUCUCUGGGUGGCGAGUGGCGGACGGGUGAGGAAUACAUCGGAAUCUACUUUUUCGUGGGGGAUAACGUAGGGAAACUUACGCUAAUACCGCAUACGACCUACGGGUGAAAGCAGGGGAUCUUCGGACCUUGCGCGAUUGAAUGAGCCGCUGUCGGAUUAGCUAGUGGGCGGGGUAACGGCCCACCAAGGCGACGAUCCGUAGCUGGUCUGAGAGGAUGAUCAGCCACACUGCAACUGAGACACGGUCCAGACUCCUACGGGAGGCAGCAGUGGGGAAUAUUGGACAAUGGGCGCAAGCCUGAUCCAGCCAUACCGCGUGGGUGAAGAAGGCCUUCGGGUUGUAAAGCCCUUUUGUUGGGAAAGAAAUCCAGCUGGUUAAUACCCGGUUGGGAUGACGGUACCCAAAGAAUAAGCACCGGCUAACUUCGUGCCAGCAGCCGCCGCGG